GACGAACGCUGGCGGCGUGCUUAACACAUGCAAGUCGAACGGAAAGGCCCUGCUUUUGUGGGGUGCUCGAGUGGCGAACGGGUGAGUAACACGUGAGUAACCUGCCCUUGACUUUGGGAUAACUUCAGGAAACUGGGGCUAAUACCGGAUAGGAGCUCCUGCUGCAUGGUGGGGGUUGGAAAGUUUCGGCGGUUGGGGAUGGACUGGCGGGUUAUCAGCUUGUUGGGGGGGUGGUGGCUUACCAAGGCUUUGACGGGUAGUCGGCCUGAGAGGGUGACCGGCCACAUUGGGACUGAGAUACGGCCCAGACUCCUACGGGAGGCAGCAGUGGGGAAUAUUGCACAAUGGGCGGAAGCCUGAUGCAGCAACGCCGCGUGCGGGAUGACGGCCUUCGGGGUGUAAACCGCUUUCGCCUGUGACGAAGCGUGAGUGACGGUAAUGGGUAAAGAAGCACCGGCUAACUACGUG
This 468-nucleotide ribosomal RNA is filed under the name uncultured bacterium. RNAcentral describes it as "partial 16S ribosomal RNA". It matches the Rfam family "Bacterial small subunit ribosomal RNA", at positions 28 to 507 of the family's 1533-position model. The record is from RNAcentral.